GCCUCUAUAGCUCAGUUGGUAGAGCACUCGUCUGGUUAACGAGAGGUCUCCAGUUCGAUUCUGGGUGGAGGCA
Non-coding RNA from Phlebotomus papatasi, 73 nucleotides. NCBI's taxonomy places the organism in Eukaryota, Metazoa, Arthropoda, Insecta, Diptera, Psychodidae. The record is from Rfam.